CCUACGGGAGGCAGCAGUGAGGAAUAUUGGUCAAUGGGCGGAAGCCUGAACCAGCCAAGUAGCGUGCAGGAUGACGGCCCUACGGGUUGUAAACUGCUUUUAUACGGGAAUAACGCGCCUUAUGUGUAGGGCUUUGCAUGUACCGUAUGAAUAAGGACCGGCUAAUUCCGUGCCAGCAGCCGCGGUAAUACGGAGGGUCCGGGCGUUAUCCGGAUUUAUUUGGUUUAAAGGGAGCGUAGGCCGGAUGUUAAGCGUGCUGUGAAAGGUUCGGGCUCAACCCGGGCCUUGCAGCGGGGACUGGCGUGCUUGAGGCCGCGGAAGGCAGGCGGAAUUCGUGGUGUAGCGGUGAAAUGCUUAGAUAUGACGAAGAACCCCGAUUGCGAAGGCAGCUUGCUGCAGCGGAACUGACGCUGAUGCUCGAAAGCGUGGGUAUCGAACAGGAUUAGAUACCCUGGUAGUC
This 460-nucleotide ribosomal RNA is filed under the name uncultured bacterium. RNAcentral describes it as "partial 16S ribosomal RNA". It matches the Rfam family "Bacterial small subunit ribosomal RNA", at positions 338 to 795 of the family's 1533-position model. The record is from RNAcentral.